AGGGUGGAGGAACCAUGCGGUAUCCAUCACAGAAAGUGGAGCAGGAUCGUGGCCAUUAUUUUGGUCUACCAGGGAGUGAUGGAGCCGCACAAAAUCCGUCGCAAGAAGUGGAGCAGAGUCGUGGCCAUUACUGCGGCCUGCCAUGGAGUGAUGGAGCCACGCGGAAUCCAUUGUAGGAAGUGGAGCAGAGUCAUGGCUGUUACUGCAGCCUGCUAGGGGGUCCAGGCCUGUC
Molecule: long non-coding RNA, 232 nt
Filed under: Elaeis guineensis (African oil palm)
Lineage: Eukaryota; Viridiplantae; Streptophyta; Magnoliopsida; Arecales; Arecaceae
Description: long non-coding RNA (EGUI_LNC082977)
Source: RNAcentral